This 468-nucleotide ribosomal RNA is filed under the name Triticum aestivum (bread wheat). RNAcentral's name for it is "partial small subunit ribosomal RNA". Lineage: Eukaryota; Viridiplantae; Streptophyta; Magnoliopsida; Poales; Poaceae. The record is from RNAcentral.
UCUACAUUUCCCCAUAUGGCGCAACCUAAUGUCAAGCUUCUGUGCUGGAAUGUGUGUGGCCUCAACGCCCCUGCCCGUCGUGACGCCGUGCACGACCUUAUCCGCGACUACCAAGCCACCAUUGUGUGCCUCCAAGAGACCAAGCUCGAUCACGCCGACGAUUCCCUCAUUGCAACCAUGCUUGGCCCCUCCUUCAUUGCUAAGCUGGCUGAUGGCCUUGAAUGGACCCUGUCAUGCGUAUACGGCCCUCAGGGGGAGCAAGACAAGUUGCUUUUCAUCAACGAGCUCAGAGGGCUGAAGCAUGUGGUGAAGCCCCGGUGGCUCAUUCUUGGCGACUUCAACCUGAUCACCAAAGCGGCUGACAAGAACAACCAAAACAUUAACAACCGCCUCAUUGGCAGUUUCCGCUCCGCGCUAAAUCACCUCGAGCUUAAAGAGAUGCGGCUUUCAGGCCGUAAAUUCACAUGG